RNAcentral lists this ribosomal RNA (586 nucleotides) under uncultured bacterium. RNAcentral describes it as "partial 16S ribosomal RNA". It matches the Rfam family "Bacterial small subunit ribosomal RNA", at positions 355 to 1375 of the family's 1533-position model. The record is from RNAcentral.
UGGGGAAUUUUGGACAAUGGGCGAAAGCCUGAUCCAGCAAUGCCGCGUGUGUGAAGAAGGCCUUCGGGUUGUAAAGCACUUUUGUCCGGAAAGAAAUCCUUGGCUCUAAUACAGUCGGGGGAUGACGGUACCGGAAGAAUAAGCACCGGCUAACUACGUGCCAGCAGCCGCGGUAAUACGUAGGGUGCAAGCGUUAAUCGGAAUUACUGGGCGUAAAGCGUGCGCAGGCGGUUUGCUAAGACCGAUGUGAAAUCCCCGGGCUCAACCUGGGAACUGCAUUGGUGACUGGCAGGCUAGAGUAUGGCAGAGGGGGGUAGAAUUCCACGUGUAGCAGUGAAAUGCGUAGAGAUGUGGAGGAAUACCGAUGGCGAAGGCAGCCCCCUGGGCAAUACUGACGCUCAUGCACGAAAGCGUGGGGGAGCAAACAGGAUUAGAUACCCUGGUAGUCCACGCCCUAAAACGAUGUCAACUAGUUGUUGGGGAUUCAUUUCCUUAGUAACGUAGCUAACGCGUGAAGUUGACCGCCUGGGGAGUACGGUCGCAAGAUUAAAACUUAAAUGAAUUGACGGGGUCAUAGCUGUUUCCU